UACGGAAGGCAGCAGUGGGGAAUAAUUGCACAAUGGGCGCAAGCCUGAUGCAGCCAUGCCGCGUGUAUGAAAAAGGCCUUCGGGUUGUAAAGUACUUUCAGUCGUGAGGAAGGUGUUAAGGUUAAUAACCUUAGCAAUUGACGUUAGCGACAGAAGAAGCACCGGCUAACUCCGUGCCAGCAGCCGCGGUAAUACGGAGGGUGCGAGCGUUAAUCGGAAUUACUGGGCGUAAAGGGCACGCAGGCGGUUAAUUAAGUUGGAUGUGAAAUCCCCGGGCUUAACCUGGGAAUGGCAUUCAAGACUGGUUAGCUAGAGUCUUGUAGAGGGGGUAGAAUUCCAUGUGUAGCGGUGAAAUGCGUAGAGAUGUGGAGGAAUACCGGUGGCGAAGGCGGCCCCUGGACAAAGACUGACGCUCAUGUGCGAAAGCGUGGGGAGCAAACAGGGAUUAGAUACC
RNAcentral lists this ribosomal RNA (454 nucleotides) under uncultured bacterium. RNAcentral's name for it is "bacterial SSU rRNA". It matches the Rfam family "Bacterial small subunit ribosomal RNA", at positions 340 to 786 of the family's 1533-position model. The record is from RNAcentral.